RNAcentral lists this ribosomal RNA (502 nucleotides) under uncultured bacterium. RNAcentral's name for it is "partial 16S ribosomal RNA". It matches the Rfam family "Bacterial small subunit ribosomal RNA", at positions 30 to 523 of the family's 1533-position model. The record is from RNAcentral.
AUUGAACGCUGGCGGCAUGCUUUACACAUGCAAGUCGAACGGCAGCACGGGUGCUUGCACCUGGUGGCGAGUGGCGAACGGGUGAGUAAUAUAUCGGAACAUGUCCGGAAGUGGGGGAUAACGUAGCGAAAGUUACGCUAAUACCGCAUAUGCCCUGAGCGGGAAAGGAGGGGAUCGUAAUACCUUUCGCUUUCUGAGUGGCCGAUAUCAGGUUAGCUAGUUGGUGAGGUGAAGGAUCACCCAGGCGACGAUCUGUAGCGGGUCUGACAGGAUGAUCCGCAACACUGGGACUGAGACAAGGCCGAGACUCCUACGGGAGGCAGCAGUGGGGAAUUUUGGACAAUGGGCGCAAGCCUGACUCAGCCAUGCCGCGUGAGUGAAGAAGGCCUUCGGGUUGUAAAGCUCUUUCAGCCGGAAAGAAAUCAUGCUUACUAAUACUAAGUGUGGAUGACGGUACCGGAAGAAGAAGCACCGGCUAACUACGUGCCAGCAGCCGCAGUAA